AUGUCUUUAAAUGUCGGAUCAUGUUCUGUCUUUCAGAUGCCAAUAAUUCAGCAGACAGAUCCUCUAGGAAGCCCCUCUGCUUUUUCUGGCCCCAUCAUGCUUUCUCCCACCUCAUUACCUCCAGGAGGAGCUCCUUUCAUGCCUGCAAAGUACGACCCUGCAAGUUUGUCAGCCGCUGACAAAGAAUCUGCUAUGGAUGCUGGGAUCUGUAACCAGAUGGGAUCUCCAGGCACCUCAGUGAUGACCCUAAGCCCUCCAGCAAUGCAGGGACCCCCAGGACCACCAAUCCCCCCAAUGCAGCCUCCUCCUGGCAUGCCGAAUCCUCACGUCCCGCCUUAUCUGGCGUCUCCAAACAUGCAGCACAUGCCCCCUCAGAUGAUGCCAGACGGACCAGUCUUUCCACCAAACAGAUUCCGAAUGCGCAUGCCUUUCCCUCCUCGCGGCCCCCCUUUCCAAAGUUGCCUACCUGUGGGACCUGAGGGCAUAGGGGACAGGGAGGGGCCAUUUUUCAGAGGUGUUAGACCGGGCUUCCACAUUCCACCUUUUCAGAGGGGGAGAUGGUGAUGAACUCUGAUGUUUUUGCUUCCCCUUCCUGUAUUCACAUUUGUACAUAUUUGUAUAUUUAAGUUGAAUCAGUUUGGUGCAGAUGUCCACAAAGGCCGAGUAUAUAUGUGUGUGUUCUUAAUUUGUCUUUUGAUUUGAAUAUUGAAGAAAAAAAUCAAUUGUAAAUUGAUUUUCAUUUGGCCUCAUUUUUUUUACCAGAAACAUUGGAUUUGAUUUGAAGAUCUCAUGUUCUGCCAGUAGAGGGUAGAGUAGUUCUCAUGCCUGUUUUUUCUCUCCCAAUCCUCCUGUAAACAAAGGUCACACCUUGAAAGGCAAUGUGAUGUAAUUAUUAAAAAAGAAAGCUGUCUACUGUUUGUCAAAGAGCUUUUGUUUGAGUCAGACUUGACAAGAAAUUGCAUACAUGCUUUUGAAUGCUUGCUUUAUUUCCAAACCUUAAUUUGUCUAAAAUAGUUUUUUUUCUGGAUUAGUUUUAUAUCUAAAUUAUAUAUCUAAAUUCUGCUGAGCAGGUAAUCUGCAUGCUCAGUCAUUCUAAAUAAAUGCAUGCUGCUGCGUGACGAUACAACGGCGCCGCAUCUGAUUGGAUCCCAAAAUCAAUAAGUGGCAUUUUCUGGACCCACUCGCGCUCCGUCUCCAAGCUGCGUGGGUCCCGCCCCUGUCGGCGGUGUGAAGAAGACACGCGUGGUCUGCAGUCGCGCAGACUUGCAGCAGAAGAGGCAGCACUGAGACCCGCAGCCCUGAUGUCCGUGAGCUGAAGCAUGGAUGCAUCUCCACGGCGGGCAUUCCCCCGUCGGCACAGGUGCGUAAAGGGAGCGCGCUGUUUAAUUAUCAUGAUAAAGGGUAGGAGGGAGAAAUAAAGCUCGAUGUGCG
This 1431-nucleotide long non-coding RNA is filed under the name Oryzias sinensis (Chinese medaka). RNAcentral's name for it is "lncRNA (ENSOSIG00000023730.1)". The record is from RNAcentral. Lineage: Eukaryota; Metazoa; Chordata; Actinopteri; Beloniformes; Adrianichthyidae.